RNAcentral lists this ribosomal RNA (478 nucleotides) under uncultured eukaryote. RNAcentral describes it as "eukaryotic LSU rRNA". It matches the Rfam family "Eukaryotic large subunit ribosomal RNA", at positions 1064 to 1543 of the family's 3401-position model. The record is from RNAcentral.
UUAAAAUUGGUAAGAACUCUUUGUUCUCUUAACUGAACAUUGAGACAGAAUGCGUGUUCCUAGUGGGCCAUUUUUGGUAAGCAGAACUGGCGAUGAGGGAUGAACCUAACGUUGAGUUAAGGUGCCCAACUAUACGCUCAUGAGAUACCACAAAAGGUGUUGAUUCAUCUAAACAGCAGGACGGUGGACAUAAAAGUCGUCAUCCGCUAAGGAGUGUGUUACAACUCACCUGCCGAAUGAAUUAGCCCUGAAAAUGGAUGGCGCUAAAGCGUAUGACCGAUACUCAACCAUCAAUACAAAAGAAAGUAGUGAUGAGUAGGAGGGCGUGGGUGUUGUAAGAAGAUUAUGGCGUGAGCCUGAUUGGAACGACAUCUAGUGCAGAUCUUGGUGGUAGUAGCAAAUAGCCAAUUGGAAACGUUGGCGGCCGAAGUGGAGAAGGGUUCCCUGAGAACAGCAAUUGAUCGAGGGGUUACGCGGU